AUUGAACGCUGGCGGCAGGCCUAACACAUGCAAGUCGAGCGGAUGAAGGGAGCUUGCUCCUGGAUUCAGCGGCGGACGGGUGAGUAAUGCCUAGGAAUCUGCCUGGUAGUGGGGGAUAACGUCCGGAAACGGGCGCUAAUACCGCAUACGUCCUGAGGGAGAAAGUGGGGGAUCUUCGGACCUCACGCUAUCAGAUGAGCCUAGGUCGGAUUAGCUAGUUGGUGGGGUAAAGGCCUACCAAGGCGACGAUCCGUAACUGGUCUGAGAGGAUGAUCAGUCACACUGGAACUGAGACACGGUCCAGACUCCUACGGGAGGCAGCAGUGGGGAAUAUUGGACAAUGGGCGAAAGCCUGAUCCAGCCAUGCCGCGUGUGUGAAGAAGGUCUUCGGGUUGUAAAGCACUUUUGGUUGGGAGGAAGGGCAGUAAGUUAAUACCUUGCUGUUUUGACGUUACCAACAGAAUAAGCACCGGCUAACUUCGUG
This 484-nucleotide ribosomal RNA is filed under the name uncultured bacterium. Its description in RNAcentral is "partial 16S ribosomal RNA". It matches the Rfam family "Bacterial small subunit ribosomal RNA", at positions 30 to 507 of the family's 1533-position model. The record is from RNAcentral.